GCCGGAGUGGCGGAACAGGCAGACGCGCACGACUCAAAAUCGUGUUCCGAAAGGAUUGUGGGUUCGAUUCCCACCUUCGGCA
RNAcentral lists this transfer RNA (82 nucleotides) under Chloroflexota bacterium. RNAcentral's name for it is "Chloroflexi bacterium tRNA-Leu". It matches the Rfam family "tRNA". Rfam says of the family: Transfer RNA (tRNA) molecules are approximately 80 nucleotides in length. Their secondary structure includes four short double-helical elements and three loops (D, anti-codon, and T loops). Lineage: Bacteria; Bacillati; Chloroflexota. The record is from RNAcentral.